UUUUCAAGAGGUGGAUAAUGAAAUCUCCACAAUCUCACCAAAAGUGAGAAUGCAUUGGAGAACACUGCAUGACAAGAGAUUUCGUCCUCUGAUGGAAGAGUGCUUGAGACCUUGGGAACACUAGAACCAAAGACCUCGCAAAUGGGCAUCAAUGCACCUGCUAGUAGUGGAGCCAAACCAUGCAAGGAUAAAAUCUGUACACAAUCCACAGAUGAU
Molecule: unclassified non-coding RNA, 216 nt
Filed under: Hevea brasiliensis (rubber tree)
Lineage: Eukaryota; Viridiplantae; Streptophyta; Magnoliopsida; Malpighiales; Euphorbiaceae
Source: RNAcentral